AGAGUUUGAUCAUGGCUCAGGACGAACGCUGGCGGCGUGCUUAACACAUGCAAGUCACGGGGGGUAGUAAUACCAACCGGCGAACGGGUGCGUAACACGUGAGCAACCUACCGAUUUGCGGGGGAUAGCCGGCCCAACGGCCGGGUAAUACCGCAUACGCUCUCCGAGGGACAUCCCUUGGUGAGGAAACCUCCGGGGCAGAUCGAGAGGCUCGCGGCCUAUCAGCUAGUUGGCGAGGUCACGGCUCACCAAGGCGACGACGGGUAGCUGGUCUGAGAGGAUGGCCAGCCACAUUGGGACUGAGAAACGGCCCAGACUCCUACGGGAGGCAGCAGUGGGGAAUCUUGCGCAAUGCGCGAAAGCGUGACGCAGCAACGCCGCGUGGGGGAAGAAGGCCUUCGGGUUGUAAACCCCUUUCAGGAGGGACGAAGGUCGGGCGGUGAAUAGCCGACCCGACUGACGGUACCUCCAGAAGAAGCCCCGGCUAACUACGUGCCAGCAGCGGCGGUAAUUC
This 514-nucleotide ribosomal RNA is filed under the name uncultured bacterium. RNAcentral describes it as "bacterial SSU rRNA". It matches the Rfam family "Bacterial small subunit ribosomal RNA", at positions 8 to 526 of the family's 1533-position model. The record is from RNAcentral.